GUAGAAAAGCAAAUUUAAUAUUUAAUUUUAUCAUUUAUAUCACUUCAUUUUGAUUUCUAGAAAUAUGAAUCCAGCAAAUUAAUUUCUUUAAAAAUAUCGGAUUACAACUCCUAUAGUCCCUGAGAAAAUAUUCCUAAAAAUCUACGCUGCUUAUAUUCACAGUCGUUUUAAAAGUUUUUAAAAAUUCGCAAUUUACCUGGUAGAUAGCUUAGAAUAGCUUAGAUAUGUUCUUAGAAAACUCAAUUCUACGGCUGAUAUGCUGAAAAGAAUGUUUAACAGUCCACGUUUUUUGGGACCUCUUUAUCCUUGAAAAUAAAUUAUUAAAAGGUCAACGUUUUGUGGCUCCGCUGGCUCUUGAACAAUAUUGAUGAGUUAUGACCCUAAGGGCCUUUAAAAAUUUGCUCUUAAAAUAUCCACAUAUGAAGCUAUGAUGGUCUUUUAAAAAAAUAUUCUCUAAUCUAAUCUCUAAUCUACUUUUUGGGGCAUAUUUAUGACAUUAUUUGUCCAUAAAAUCCAGGUUGUCUUGGAAAUCCUGGUUUUUGCGGCUAUAUUUGUCCUUCAAUGGUGUUUUCAAAAAAGUAUUUCGAAAAAUAAUCCUAAAUAUCCUUGUUCUGUGACUGUUUGACCUUGAUAAAUAAUCUGAAAAAUCCAUGUUUUCAUAAAUAUCCUUUAAAUUCCACCUUUUGUACUUUGGUAUCCUUUGUGUUAGAAAAAUAUUCCUAGAAUUAGCCUUGUGUUGAAAAAUCAAGAAUUCUUAGUUUGGUAGUCCUUUGAAAAAUGAUUGAAAAUUCAAAAAAAAGUAAUAAAACUGUAAGUUCGGCCGGGCCAAACUUUGAAUACACUCCACCAUUUGGAACGAAUUUGACAAUUCUCAAAACAAUAAAAUUUGUUAAAUCUUAAAAUAAUUCUGUUAAAAUCUUAGAAAUACCAAAUGUAGCUAUUAUAUUAGGGUAUGUCCAUACGAUGACGUGGACCUGCAUAGGUAACAUAUGCUUAUGACAAAAGCCAUUACAAUAUUCAAAUGCGAAACUUGAAUAAUGAAUAAUGUAGCUAAAGUCAUCAAAAUACCGAAUAUCGGGAGGUACCGUUAUAUGGGGGCUAUAUGAAGACGAUGACCUCCACAGAUAAUUUUCUGUCGUAGGCUGUAGUAUCCAUUUCGAACUUCAAACACCAAAUUUGAAACAAUUCCGGUAAAUAAUGUCGCUAAAAUUAUCAUAAUACCGAAUAUCGGGAGGUACCGUUAUAUGGGGGCUAUACCAAAAAAUGGACCUACAUGGCCCAUUUUCAAUACCAAAAGUCCUGCAUACAUAAGAUACAUUUAAGUAAAAUUUUCUCAAUCUACUUCAUUUCGUUCGGAAGCUAGAAUGAUUUCCACAGACGGACAUCGCUAAAUCGACAUAGAAUUUUAUGCUGAUCAAAAAUAUAUAUACUGUCCAAAUGUAUAUUUCGAGGUGUUACAAACGGAAUGACAAACUUAAUAUACCCUUCAUACUAUAGUGGAGAGUUUUCAUACUCGUUUAAUGGCUUUGCAGUCCUUUGAGAAAAAAAACAUUCAUAAAAAACACGUAUUGUGACAUGGUUAGUCCUUGAAAAAUAUUUUUAAAAAUACAAGUAGCUGUUAUGGUUCUUAAAAAAUGCUAAAACUCCACAGUUGAAGCGCAUCAUUGAUGCUUUAAAAAAAUAUUCUUAGAAAUUCCAUAUUUUAUUAUGAAAAAAUGCCUCUUUAAAAUCAACGUUGUCAUUGAUAAAAAUAUACUUAAUACUCCUUGUAGUCUUUGAUAGUCCACAAAAUUUAUUUAUUUGAUAUUUCAAAAAUAUUCUUAAAACAUCCACAGUUA
This is a long non-coding RNA of Musca domestica (house fly), 1838 nucleotides long. RefSeq lists it as uncharacterized. The transcript has 3 exons. The record is from RefSeq and is a predicted model, not a curated record. Lineage: Eukaryota; Metazoa; Arthropoda; Insecta; Diptera; Muscidae.